AAAUCUUAAAUUUUGCAAGCUGCCGGACUCUUUUGGUGAAUUCUUUAAUUCUUUGUGAAUCAAAACGCUUUGGCAUGUCAUAAGUACUCGCAUUUCUCAGCCAUAUUUAUAAUAAUCACAGUAGCCAAAGAAAUUGAAAUUUCUCAAACAUAGCUACGAAGUCAGAAUUAGGACAAAUAAUGUUCAUUCCAAUUUUUAGACUUGUCCAGUAAACAUCUGAACCUUUUUGUGAACUUUUUGUGGGACUUCUCUCGAUUGUUAAUUUGUUUUCUUGUAACAAAGUGAAAAUUUCAUUUGAGAAUUAUUUUUAAAUAAGAUUGACGAACGAUCCAAAAUUGUGCCUAUUUCCGUGGAGAUACUAUAAGUCAAGUACAAGCUUUUUUAUUUUCAUAAUAACUGCUUUUGCAGUUGAAAUCUUUCAAGAUGUGUUAUCCAUGCUAUUCGUGCUGUGGAUCUUGCGGACCCUGCGGAUCUUGCUGUUCACCAUGUUGCGGACCUUGUGGCGGCUGUGGACCAUAUUGUGGUCCCUGUGGUGGUUGUGGCCCUUGCUAUGGGGGUUGCGGACCGUGCUGCGGGGGCUGUGGACCUUGCUGUUAGUAUCUUCAGAACGAAAUCUAGGUGUCCCACAAUUAGUAUCGCAAAAACAAAAAUAAAAUUUUAAAGUGCCAAAAUAAAUGGAAUAUAAACUCUAAUUAAAUAUUGGUUUGACUUUGAACCCCGUGAUCAUAUUUGCUAAGAACAAUAAAAUAUAACUCUAUGAAAUUGAAAUUCAUAAAACUGGGCUACGAUGCUGGAAGAUAUACAAAUAAUGUCCAUUCCAAUUUUUAGGCUUGUCCAGUAAACAUCUGAACCUUUUUGUGAACUUUUUGUGGGACUUCUCUCAAAUGUUUAUUUGUUUUUUGUAACAAAGUAACAUUCAUAAGUUAAAUUGGGAGAUAAUUUGAAGUAAAGACAAAUAGUACCUAUUUCUGUGAAGAAUCACAAGUCCACUUUAUUCAAAAUGUGUUAUCCAUGCUAUUCGUGCUGUGGAUCUUGCGGACCCUGCGGAUCUUGCUUUUCACCAUGUUGCGGGCCUUGUGGCGGCUGUGGACCAUAUUGUGGUCCCUGUGGUGGAUGUGGACCUUGCUAUGGGGGUUGCGGACCGUGCUGCGGGGGCUGUGGACCUUGCUGUUAGUAUCUUCAGAACGAAAUCUAGGUGUCCCUCAAUUAGUAUCGCAAAAACAAUAUAAAUAAAAUUUUAAAGUGUCAAAAUAAAUGGUUUGACUUUAGGCCCCGUGAUCAUAUUAGCUAAGAACAAUAAAAUAUAGCGUACGUAUGUUAGAUUUGCAUAUAGGCUGCAUAUGAGUGUAUUAUACCAGAGCAAUAAAAUAUGAGCGCGGUUUUCCCUGGUUCAUAAGAGUUUAUUUAGAAAGUACAUUUUAAAGUGUCAAAAUAAAUGGAAUAUAAACUUCAAUAUGUAAUAGUUAUUCAGAUAGGUGUUUUGCUCUAAUUAAGUGUUGGUUUAAGCUUGGACCCAGUGAUGAGUACUCUACAAUUUGGAGACUCAAUCGUUACAAAACAAAUAACAAAAUAGCUAAUAGCAAUAAAAUUUAACUUAGGUAGGUCUGCACAUAGUCUGCGUGAUUUUCCUCGGUUCUUAUCAGAUUAACUAGAGUGAUGUAGGAAAUAAUACUGAGUUUUUUAAGCAGUAAAAGAACAUUGCUUCCUGGUGUGAUGUUCAUCAAAAACGCAUUUAAAUGUUAAAAAAUAAAACUAAGCAUCUUAGUAGUCCAUGAAAUUAAAAUUCAUAAAACUUAGCUACGAUGCUGGAAGAAAUACAAAUAAUGUCCAUUCCAAUUUUAAGGCUUGUCCAGUAAACAUCUGAACCUUUUUGUGAACUUUUUGUGGGGUUUCUCUCAAAUGUUUAUUUGUUUUUUGUAACAAAAUAACAUUCAUACGUUAAAUUGGGAGAUAAUUUGAAGUAAAGACAAGCGAACGAUCCCAAAUAGUACCUAUUUCUGUGAAGAAUCAAAAGUCCACUUUAUUCAAGAUGUGUUAUCCAUGCUAUUCGUGCUGUGGAUCUUGCGGACCCUGCGGAUCUUGCUGUUCACCAUGUUACGGGCCUUGUGGCGGCUGUGGACCAUAUUGUGGUCCCUGUGGUGGAUGCUAUGGGGGUUGCGGACCGUACUGCGGGGGAUGUGGACCUUGCUGUUAAUAUCUUCAGAACGAAAUCUAGGUAUCCCACAUUUAGUAUUACAAAGAAAAAAACCCCUAUGUAAAUUAAUAAAUGUAUAAUUAAAUGGAAUAUCUUAAAACUCA
This is a long non-coding RNA of Drosophila albomicans, 2298 nucleotides long. RefSeq lists it as uncharacterized. NCBI's taxonomy places the organism in Eukaryota, Metazoa, Arthropoda, Insecta, Diptera, Drosophilidae. The transcript is spliced from 8 exons. The record is from RefSeq and is a predicted model, not a curated record.